GUACUGCCCAGGGGAUGUGGUGACCCCAAGGAUGUACAGCUCUGCAGCUCUGCCUGAAGGGGCUAUUUGAAACAGAGAAUGGAGAACUCCAUGCCUAAGGAUGUUAUCGAAAACAAGGGAAGUCUUGGUGGAGAAUAAGAAGAAGCCAGUAGCUCCAGGAUACAAACAAAACAGCAGAGCAUUCAGAAGUUCAAUAGACAGAAUCGGACAAAGAGCAGCCAGGAAAAGCCCUCCUGGGAUCACAGUCAACACAAGAAUGGACCUUCAUUGAAAAUCUGGUUCAGAUGUCAAGACAGAUACCAUACCUACAUCAACGAGAUCCAGGAGUACAGAAGAUCAAUGUCAAGACCCCCGCUGCGACUCAACAUACAUGAAUUUGAAUCAGUAACCACCUUCUGGUACAAAGCCUACUUCUCUCAAAGUGCUGUCUUUCUGCUCAAGGUUUUUGGUGAAGCCCCAUGAGAACAAUGACCCAGUCACUGCUUGGAAGCCCUGUUGAUCAGAGCCUCAUAGAUAGUCAAGGCUUUCCCUAUAAC
Long non-coding RNA from Rhinopithecus roxellana (golden snub-nosed monkey), 536 nucleotides. RefSeq lists it as uncharacterized. The record is from RefSeq and is a predicted model, not a curated record. The transcript is spliced from 3 exons. Lineage: Eukaryota; Metazoa; Chordata; Mammalia; Primates; Cercopithecidae.